CAAGUGAGUCAUCGAAUCUUUGAACGCACAUUGCGCCCCCUGGUAUUCCGGGGGGCAUGCCUGUCCGAGCGUCAUUGCUGCCCUCAAGCCCGGCUUGUGUGUUGGGUCUCGUCCCCCUUCCCGGGGGGACGGGCCCGAAAGGCAGCGGCGGCACCGCGUCCGGUCCUCGAGCGUAUGGGGCUUUGUCACCCGCUCUGUAGGCCCGGCCGGCGCUUGCCGAUCAACCAAAACUUUUUUCCAGGUUGACCUCGGAUCAGGUAGGGAUACCCGCUGAACUUAAGCAUAUCAAUAAGCGGAGGA
This 300-nucleotide unclassified non-coding RNA is filed under the name uncultured Penicillium. RNAcentral's name for it is "sequence contains 5.8S rRNA gene, ITS2". The stretch from base 1 to 74 matches the Rfam family "5.8S ribosomal RNA", at positions 81 to 154 of the family's 154-position model. Lineage: Eukaryota; Fungi; Ascomycota; Eurotiomycetes; Eurotiales; Aspergillaceae. The record is from RNAcentral.